CAGUAGCCGCGGGAAAACGUAGGGUGCAAGCGUUAAUCGGAAUUACUGGGCGUAAAGCGUGCGCAGGCGGUGAUGUAAGACAGAUGUGAAAUCCCCGGGCUCAACCUGGGAACUGCAUUUGUGACUGCAUCGCUGGAGUGCGGCAGAGGGGGAUGGAAUUCCGCGUGUAGCAGUGAAAUGCGUAGAUAUGCGGAGGAACACCGAUGGCGAAGGCAAUCCCCUGGGCCUGCACUGACGCUCAUGCACGAAAGCGUGGGGAGCAAACAGGAUUAGAUACCCCGGUAGUCCCUGUCUCUUAUAC
RNAcentral lists this ribosomal RNA (301 nucleotides) under uncultured bacterium. RNAcentral's name for it is "partial 16S ribosomal RNA". It matches the Rfam family "Bacterial small subunit ribosomal RNA", at positions 509 to 807 of the family's 1533-position model. The record is from RNAcentral.